Non-coding RNA from Podarcis lilfordi (Lilford's wall lizard), 65 nucleotides. NCBI's taxonomy places the organism in Eukaryota, Metazoa, Chordata, Lepidosauria, Squamata, Lacertidae. The record is from the annotation of a GenBank genome assembly.
GAACUCAGCAGCAGAGCUUCUGCCUUGCAUGCAGAAGGCCUUGGAUUCAAUCUCCAGCAUCUCCA